This 215-nucleotide unclassified non-coding RNA is filed under the name plant metagenome. RNAcentral describes it as "partial contains 5.8S ribosomal RNA, internal transcribed spacer 2, and large subunit ribosomal RNA". The record is from RNAcentral.
GUGGAGCUGCUGGCGGGCACGCCCGGCGAGUACGUCUUCGAGAUCGCGGGCCUGCCCCGGAAUCUCGCAGGUAAAGGGCCGGAGGAGAUUCAGCGGCAGCUCAUGCGGUCGGCGAAGAUCUUUGUCGCAGGCCGCCGCGCGCUGACUCCCACGGUCGUGAAGACACCGUCGUACGGUGCGCUGGUCACGGCGUCGGCUCGCUUCCCGCGGUACAC